GGGCGUACAUUAGAAUCGAACCUUGGCUUGAAAUUGAGUGCCCUGGGUGGACUUUCCUUCCGACUUGUUCACUUUGUAGCUAUGGUGGCUUUGUCCAGGAGCUGCUGGGAAAUGCCCCAGGCUACCUAGGGUUUGCGCCAUGCCCAAAGGCGCAGCUCACUUGAGCUGCUACGAGGGAUGAGACAUGUCCACUAGGACAAGACACUGGGACUCCCUCCGGACAAAGCUCCAUGCUGCUUGUUUGCUAGACGAGACGGGUCUCGAUCCAAAGUCCCGUGAAGGCUUGCUUGCCAAGGAUUGGUGCUGUUCCAGUGAAAUGGAGUGUGGACAUACACAAGAUACAUCUCGGCUGGAAGCACGUAACAGAUGGAGGCGGCUCAAGAACACAGUGGCUUUUGCGGCUGCCAUCAAAUCGUCUCUGGCCCAUGAUCUGCUCGAGGACAAACUUCACGUCGAUCCCGUAAAAGGCAAUGACAGUGUUGCUACCGGUGCAGCAGCUCAGGCUUCGAUGCCAGUUAAAGCCAAAGGAAGGAAAGGAAUGGAAGGCCUUGUGGUCCAGCAAGACAGAGGUUACAUGUCUUGCUUCCAAGAUUUUUAUGUCGCCUGCCUCAAGCUGCCAGUCGUUCACUUCUUUAUUGGAGUUUUCCUGGCUCCAGUUGCUUUGGCCUCGAUCUUCACGCCACUCUAUCUAUCGGAUGCCAAGGGGCUCAAGCUCGUCGAGUCGCAAGAAGCGGGUUCGUCGUGCGACUCAUCCAAGAUAUGGAGCUGCUUGAAUGUUUUUCUCUACUCGCUAUCCUUGUCAACAACCUUCGGUGGCUCGCCAAUCUCUGCAAUCUCGCCAUUCUGUCUACUUGUUGCGAAUCUUCACACGCUCAUGGCUCAGUUCUUGUUUGUGUUUCUGAGUGGUGCCGGUAAGACGGUAGAGAUGGCUGAAAUUCGGUCUCGUAGCUCAUGUCGUGAGAGGUUGCUGUUUGGUGCAGUUUUCGCUCGUAUGUCACAGCCAGCGCAUCCCAUAAGGUGCUCCAAGAAAGCCAUAAUAAAAAACAAUGACUUCGGGACAUCAGAUGACGAAGAUGGCAGAUCCAAAGUCUUUGUUAUACGGCUGGUACUGACGGGGCCUCCUCCCUGCGAGCUCGUGGAUGCAAAGAUACGCCUCACAUUUCGCAUUUAUGUGAGGCUGCCGUCCGGGUCGAUGUUCUGCUCGACACAGGAUUUGGACCUGGUGCGUUCAGAAGUUGCAUACCUAAGAUAUGGACUGACAGUACGCCACGUAAUAAACUCCAAGAGUCCGAUUAGCGGGCACACUUUGGACACUCUUGCUCAGGGAGAUGCGUCCUUCUCGCUGACGAUAAUGGGUGUGGAGCGCAGCUCCAUGCAGCCCAUCUUCCAUGUGGAGGAUUACUUCAUAUGUGAUGGAGACGUGAUAUGGGAUGGGGAGUACCUCGACUUCGUAGGAGUGAACGACAAGGGCCUGAGAGUACUAGACCAUUCCAAGAUAGACAUGUUGAAACCAUUCAAGGUGGCGGGAGUUGUAACACAAGCCAUAGCAAGAAUGGAAGGCGAAGUUGCAAGACACAAAGCUGAAGCGGAUCUAAAGGAAGAGAAAAACCACGAACCACUUUCGGAAUCAGAUUGGAAGACAAGCGGUGUGAGAAUCAGGAAACUAUGGAAAACAAUAUCUGGUUCGAAGUAAAAUAGAAAGUAAUUUCUAGCAGCCUGGGUAGGGUUUGGGCCAUGGGGAAGAGCAGGAAGCGGCAAGCGGCAAAGCGGAUGAUGGACAUUGACCAUGAUCAAGAGGCACAGGGCAUGGAUGUAGACGAGCCCAAAUCCACAUCCAACCCACCCAAUGGGCUGUCCAAGGAAUCCAAAUUGAUCGCAAAGCGGCGUCGUGCCGUGAAUGUACGCAAGAAGGCGGCGGCUGACAAGGCGCUGGCGAUGCUGGAGAAGAAACAGCAAAAGGCUCAGACGGAUCUGGCAAAGGUGUGUCGCAAGAAUCUACUCAAGAAGCUGUACUAGGUAGUGGAAAGAGGUAGGGUUGCAAUGGAGAGUCAUCAUGCCCGGCUGCUAGCCUUCGAUUUUGUGAGGAAACAGGUUGGCCGUCGUGUAGAGAUGGUGGGGGUGGCGGUGAGCGUGGAGCGCAAGCCCAAGUACGUGCGCUUUGCUGUGGACGACGGCACGGGCUGCAUAUCUUGCAUCUUGUGGACCAACCAGAGUGGCGCCCCCCAGCAGCAGGCAGCGGCAGACAUGGCGCGGCUUGUCACUCUGGGGGGCCUGCUCGCGGUGCACGGCCGCGUCUCCCGCUACCACCACCACCCGCAGCUCACCGUUUCGUCUCUCCUGCCACAGCCGGAUGCCAAUGCCGAGGUUUACCACUGGAUGGAGUGUAUCAAGCUUGCGCUAGAUUGCUAUUAGUUCUCCAAAUUGUGGCCCUCCCUGUUAAAUACAAGUUAGCCUAAAGGGAAA
RNA transcript from Selaginella moellendorffii, 2463 nucleotides. It is a transcript of the gene named CBL-interacting protein kinase 23, with no coding region annotated. NCBI's taxonomy places the organism in Eukaryota, Viridiplantae, Streptophyta, Lycopodiopsida, Selaginellales, Selaginellaceae. The transcript is spliced from 11 exons. The record is from RefSeq and is a predicted model, not a curated record.